This is a long non-coding RNA of Musca domestica (house fly), 1062 nucleotides long. RefSeq lists it as uncharacterized. The record is from RefSeq and is a predicted model, not a curated record. The transcript is spliced from 2 exons. NCBI's taxonomy places the organism in Eukaryota, Metazoa, Arthropoda, Insecta, Diptera, Muscidae.
UACACUAAAACUAAGUAAUAACAUGUAGGAAGUAUAUCAAGUCUGAAUAUUAUUGAAAUUGUAAAUAAUGUAUUUUUUUCAAUUAAUUUUUAUCAGUACGUAUCAUCUUUUAUUUUGUCUGAAGAUGUGGUGUACUAAAUAUGUGCUGUGCAUACAAAACUAAUGUAAUGAACCAACCAUGAUCCUCAUUACAGUGAAGUUGAAUGUGUGUUUUUAAGGAGCAUUGGUUGAACCGAAUUCAAAUGAACAAAUUUACAGGUCUCAACUUAUUUUCGGCAAAAAUGUUUUUGCUGACAAAUUACAACGAUAAAGAUGGACGUCAAAUUAAACUAGAGGAAAACAGCGUUUUUUCUAAAUUGACUUACGUCAAUCGAUAGGUGGAUCUUUAUCUUGUGAGAUGUGAAAAUUUUAUUCUACCUUUAAUGAGUCAUAUGGGCGAAAUUUUCUCAUUUAAUGUCGAAAAAAUCUCGAUCGAAACAAAAUUUUGUAUGGACAUUUUAUAUAGAUGAAAAAUUAUUAUUUUUAUAGAAACUGCUGGAUCUACGUCUAACAUUCGGACUUCAGUAAUUUCUUCAAAAAAAACUCUUUUCAAUAAAGCGAAUGCAAAAAUGUCACCCCAUAAUGAACAAGAAAUUUCGCCCCUACCUAACAAUGUUCGACUGUACACAUCCGUGCUCUCUAUCAAGCAUUUUAGAUGAGGCAUAAACUUCUCUAUAUAUAUAUAUAUAUAUAUAUAUAAUUUAUUAAUGUGUAGAGUAUUUUUAGUUAAAAUAGCACUAAAUUACUUAAACAAAAACAAUAUGAACAGCAACUUAUCUUGUAAUACCAAAUAGUAUAUAAUAAUGAUAUUCUCUCUACACAAUAGAUGAUAUUUUCCAACAUUGAAAUCUCAUAUAAGGCAAACUAAUUGGAAUCUUAUAUAAAAUGCCAAGCAAUAUAUUAUUUAUAUUUAUAAAUAAUAUAAUUUUAAUAUUAUUUUACAAAAUAUAUGUGUUUUUCGUUGUUAGAAUACUUUUAACGGAAAGUCAAGAAUUAAUUUUCAAUAAAAUUUGUUUAAAAUUA